RNAcentral lists this transfer RNA (88 nucleotides) under Nitrospirota bacterium. RNAcentral's name for it is "Nitrospirae bacterium tRNA-Leu". It matches the Rfam family "tRNA". From Rfam's summary of the family: Transfer RNA (tRNA) molecules are approximately 80 nucleotides in length. Their secondary structure includes four short double-helical elements and three loops (D, anti-codon, and T loops). Lineage: Bacteria; Pseudomonadati; Nitrospirota. The record is from RNAcentral.
GCCGAAGUGGCGGAAUUGGCAGACGCACCAGAUUCAGGGUCUGGCGCCCCUCGGGGGUGUGCGGGUUCGACUCCCGCCUUCGGCACCA